RNAcentral lists this ribosomal RNA (499 nucleotides) under uncultured bacterium. RNAcentral describes it as "bacterial SSU rRNA". It matches the Rfam family "Bacterial small subunit ribosomal RNA", at positions 29 to 507 of the family's 1533-position model. The record is from RNAcentral.
ACGAACGCUGGCGGCGUGCCUAAUACAUGCAAGUCGAGCGGAAUGAUGAAGAAGCUUGCUUCUUCUGAUUUUAGCGGCGGACGGGUGAGUAGCACGUGGGUAACCUACCUUGUAGAUUGGGAUAACUCCGGGAAACCGGGGCUAAUACCGAAUAAUCCAUUUUGCUUCAUGGCGAGAUGUUGAAAGACGGUUUCGGCUGUCACUAUAAGAUGGGCCCGCGGCGCAUUAGCUAGUUGGUAGGGUAAUGGCCUACCAAGGCGACGAUGCGUAGCCGACCUGAGAGGGUGAUCGGCCACACUGGGACUGAGACACGGCCCAGACUCCUACGGGAGGCAGCAGUAGGGAAUCUUCCACAAUGGACGAAAGUCUGAUGGAGCAACGCCGCGUGAGUGAAGAAGGUUUUCGGAUCGUAAAACUCUGUUGUAAGGGAAGAACACGUACGAGAGUAACUGCUCGUACCUUGACGGUACCUUAUUAGAAAGCCACGGCUAACUACGUG